Molecule: ribosomal RNA, 253 nt
Filed under: uncultured bacterium
Lineage: Bacteria
Description: partial 16S ribosomal RNA
Rfam family: Bacterial small subunit ribosomal RNA
Source: RNAcentral
GACGUAGGAGGCGAGCGUUGUCCGGAUUCAUUGGGCGUAAAGAGCGCGCAGGCGGUCGUUCAAGUCGAGUGUGAAAGCCCCCGGCUCAACUGGGGAGGGUCACUCGAUACUGAUCGACUCGAAGGCAGGAGAGGGAAGUGGAAUUCCCGGUGUAGUGGUGAAAUGCGUAGAUAUCGGGAGGAACACCAGUGGCGAAGGCGACUUCCUGGACCGACACUGACACUGAGGAGCGAAAGCCAGGGGAGCAAACGGG